UCCCCAAAUUCCCAAUCUCAUAGCCUAACUCUUCUCUUCUCCACGCAAAUCUCUACCUAUUUCCCCAAAUUCCCAAUCUCAUAACCUUACCUACCUCUUCUCUUCUCCUCUCCACGCAAAUCCCUCCCUGUUUCUCCAAAUUCCCAAUUUCUUCUCCACGCAAAUCCCUAGCGAUUACCCUAAUAGAAGAAGUUUCAGUUGGUGCUCAUUUGAUGGAUUGAUGAAUCACGUCAGACUUGAAUAUUUGAACGAAAAAUCAAAGGUUCUUUCAGAGAUGGAAACGAAGGAGUGGUAUCAGAGAUGGAAGAGCUGCCCAAGACUAUCGUGCGCAGAGUGGUUAAGGAUAAGCUCAUGAGUGUUCACCCAUACCGACAUCACCGUCAACAAAGACUCCCUUCUCGCUUUCUCGGAAAGCGCCCCUAUCUUUAUCCACUACCUCUCCGCCACGGCUAAUGAUAUAU
This is a long non-coding RNA of Pistacia vera, 461 nucleotides long. RefSeq lists it as uncharacterized. Lineage: Eukaryota; Viridiplantae; Streptophyta; Magnoliopsida; Sapindales; Anacardiaceae. The transcript has 3 exons. The record is from RefSeq and is a predicted model, not a curated record.